Molecule: long non-coding RNA, 496 nt
Filed under: Phoenix dactylifera (date palm)
Lineage: Eukaryota; Viridiplantae; Streptophyta; Magnoliopsida; Arecales; Arecaceae
Description: long non-coding RNA (PDAC_LNC000219)
Source: RNAcentral
GUCUGCUGAUGCUUGCUGUCAGUUGCCUUCUUUCAGAUGGUAAGAUUUGUCUUGCCUAUAAUACGAUGACAUAUCAUUUAUAUUUCGUGCGAAAUUUCAGGCCAAUGCAGCAUCAGGCAUGGCUGUGAAUGAUGAUUGCAAGCUGAAGUUUUUGGAAUUGAAGGCAAAGAGAACUUACCGUUUCAUAAUUUUCAAGAUCGACGAGAAGCUGAAGCAGGUCAUUGUGGAGACGGUUGGUGAGCCUGCAUUGAGCUAUGAGGAUUUCACUGCCAGCCUUCCGGCCAAUGAAUGCAGAUAUGCGAUUUAUGACUUUGAUUUUGUGACUGAAGAGAACUGCCAGAAAAGCNNNNNNNNNNNNNNNNNNNNGAGCCUGCAUUGAGCUAUGAGGAUUUCACUGCCAGCCUUCCGGCCAAUGAAUGCAGAUAUGCGAUUUAUGACUUUGAUUUUGUGACUGAAGAGAACUGCCAGAAAAGCAAGAUCUUUUUCAUCGCCUGGU